UGGAGUAGAGCUCAGUGGUAGAGCACGUGCUUUGCACGCACGGGGUCCUGGGUUCAAUCCCUUGUAUUUCCA
This 72-nucleotide transfer RNA is filed under the name Camelus bactrianus (Bactrian camel). It matches the Rfam family "tRNA". From Rfam's summary of the family: Transfer RNA (tRNA) molecules are approximately 80 nucleotides in length. The record is from Rfam by way of RNAcentral. Lineage: Eukaryota; Metazoa; Chordata; Mammalia; Artiodactyla; Camelidae. RNAcentral also lists the same sequence under 2 other names.